AGAGUUUGAUCCUGGCUCAGGACGAACGCUGGCGGCGUGCUUAACACAUGCAAGUCGAACGAUGAAGCCUUCGGGUGGAUUAGUGGCGAACGGGUGAGUAACACGUGGGAAAUCUGCCCUGAACUCUGGGACAAGCCUUGGAAACGAGGUCUAAUACCGGAUAUGACCGUGGAGCGCAUGCUCUGUGGUGGAAAGCUCCGGCGGUUCAGGAUGAUCCCGCGGCCUAUCAGCUUGUUGGUGGGGUAAUGGCCUACCAAGGCGACGACGGGUAGCCGGCCUGAGAGGGCGACCGGCCACACUGGGACUGAGACACGGCCCAGACUCCUACGGGAGGCAGCAGUGGGGAAUAUUGCACAAUGGGCGAAAGCCUGAUGCAGCGACGCCGCGUGAGGGAUGACGGCCUUCGGGUUGUAAACCUCUUUCAGCAGGGAAGAAGCGCAAGUGACGGUACCUGCAGAAGAAGCACCGGCUAACUACGUGCCAGCAGCCGCGGUAAUACGUAGGGUGCGAGCGUUGUCCGGAAUUAUUGGGCGUAAAGAGCUCGUAGGCGGCCUGUCGCGUCGGAUGUGAAAGCCCGGGGCUUAACCCCGGGUCUGCAUUCGAUACGGGCAGGCUAGAGUGUGGUAGGGGAGAUCGGAAUUCCUGGUGUAGCGGUGAAAUGCGCAGAUAUCAGGAGGAACACCGGUGGCGAAGGCGGAUCUCUGGGCCAUUACUGACGCUGAGGAGCGAAAGCGUGGGGAGCGAACAGGAUUAGAUACCCUGGUAGUCCACGCCGUAAACGUUGGGAACUAGGUGUUGGCGACAUUCCACGUCGUCGGUGCCGCAGCUAACGCAUUAAGUUCCCCGCCUGGGGAGUACGGCCGCAAGGCUAAAACUCAAAGGAAUUGACGG
This 891-nucleotide ribosomal RNA is filed under the name Kitasatospora sp. H2BS17_pA. RNAcentral describes it as "bacterial SSU rRNA". It matches the Rfam family "Bacterial small subunit ribosomal RNA", at positions 8 to 916 of the family's 1533-position model. RNAcentral also lists the same sequence under 1 other name. The record is from RNAcentral. Lineage: Bacteria; Bacillati; Actinomycetota; Actinomycetes; Kitasatosporales; Streptomycetaceae.